AACUUACCUACAACGUUGCUUCGGCGGGAACAGACGGCCCCGUAAAACGGGCCGCCCCCGCCAGAGGACCCCUAACUCUGUUUUUAUAAUGUUUUUCUGAGUAAACAAGCAAAUAAAUUAAAACUUUCAACAACGGAUCUCUUGGCUCUGGCAUCGAUGAAGAACGCAGCGAAAUGCGAUAAGUAAUGUGAAUUGCAGAAUUCAGUGAAUCAUCGAAUCUUUGAACGCACAUUGCGCCCGCCAGUAUUCUGGCGGGCAUGCCUGUUCGAGCGUCAUUACAACCCUCAGGCCUCCGGGCCUGGCGUUGGGGAUCGGCGGAGCCCCCCGUGGGCACACGCCGUCCCCCAAAUACAGUGGCGGUCCCGCCGCAGCUUCCAUUGCGUAGUAGCUAACACCUCGCAACUGGAGAGCGGCGCGGCCACGCCGUAAAACACCGAACUUCUGAA
Molecule: unclassified non-coding RNA, 446 nt
Filed under: Fusarium neocosmosporiellum
Lineage: Eukaryota; Fungi; Ascomycota; Sordariomycetes; Hypocreales; Nectriaceae
Description: sequence contains 18S rRNA gene, ITS1, 5.8S rRNA gene, ITS2, 28S rRNA gene
Rfam family: 5.8S ribosomal RNA (bases 122-275)
Source: RNAcentral